This 83-nucleotide small RNA is filed under the name Proteus vulgaris. Its description in RNAcentral is "RybB RNA". It matches the Rfam family "RybB RNA". Rfam says of the family: This ncRNA was identified in a large scale screen of E. coli. The function of this short RNA is unknown. Lineage: Bacteria; Pseudomonadati; Pseudomonadota; Gammaproteobacteria; Enterobacterales; Morganellaceae. The record is from RNAcentral.
ACUGCUUUUCUUUGAUGUCCCCAAAUAUUGAGGAGCCCGAUAGUUUCAACCCCUUUGGUGAAAUAACUGUCGGGUUUUUUAUU